AGCUCAAAAUCUGCCUUAUUGUAACGACGAUGCUGGGAGACGGGAAGCCAGUACAGGUAGUGAGUUAAAUAAACGUAACAGAACAAAGCAAGGCAAGUGUAGCGUACGUCAUGGAACAUUAUUACUGCCUGGGGAAUAGACUUAAGGGAGUGCCAGAUAUAAGGGAUAUAGGCAGAUAUAAUGAGAAGAGAAAUGGAGUCCAGGUGAGCCAUGAGGAGCAGGUGUGUGUAAGGAUGUUGCCAGGACCGGUCGUUAGUAAACCUGAGACGCUGGAGGGGAGACAUGACAGGAACCACCGGCCUGAGAAGGGAGACAUAAAAGGUCAGAUGCGGUAGUCUCUGGGGAGCUCUAACCUAUAAGUCACCUCAUUGACCCUCCGGAGAAUCUAAAACUGUCCCACAAACCGGGGGCUCAGCUUCUUGCAGGGCAGGCGAAGUGGUAGGUUCCUGGUAAAGAGCCAAACAUGAUCACCAAGAUGGAACACGGGAGUCGGUCUUCUUCUGAUGGUGGACGGCGCACUGGAGUCUCACGUGAGCGUCGCUCCACACUUCUGCACGCCUAAACCACUCAUCUGCCGCUGAAGCUUCGGUCUGGCCUGGGGUCCACGGAGCCAGGGCCGGCAAAUAGGGAGUCAGCCCGGUGGAGGAGUGAUGUAACGAAUCCUGGGCAUACUCCGCCCAUGGAAGGAAUUGGGCCCCCUCCCCCUGCCAGUCCUGUCAGUGUCUCCUGAACCUCCCCAGCGCCUGGUUCAUCUUCUCCACCUGCCUGUUUGACUGAGGCCUAUACCCAGAAGUGAGGCUGACUGUGACCCUGAGCUUCUCCGAAAAGGCUAGAUGUGAAUUGGGGGCCACGGUUGGAGAUGAUGUCCUCCGGAAGGCCAUAAUGCCGGAAGACCUGCUGAAACAGUGCCUCAUUAACCUGGAGAGUGGUAGGGAGGCUAGAGGGAUUAAACAAAAUUCUGUCCCCAACCACCAGAAUGGUGGUGAAACCGUCAGAGGGGAGAUCGGUAACAAAGGUCAAUGGACAGAUGAGACCAGGGACGCUGAGGCACAGGAAGGGGGAGGAGUUUCCAUGCUGGAGCGUGCCGGGAGACUGGGCACACAGAACAGGAGUUGAUGUAGAGUGUAGAGUGUAACGUCCUGCGGCAAGGUGGGACACCAAUAUUUUUCGGAGAGCGAUUGUAUAGUACGGGUGAUCCCAGGAUGUCCAGUGACACAGCUGUGUGUGCCCAGGUCAAUAGUUUCUCCCUUAUCCCAGUGGCAACGUAGAUGCGCUCAGGUAGUGGGAGUAGGUUUCCUUCUCCAGAGCCUGGCGAAAGUCCACAUCUACGUCCCAGAGCACAGGAACUAUGACAAGAGGAACACAGGUCCUCUGGCAUUCGGGUGACCAGUCUGAUUCUCAUCCUCAACCAUGAGGGUGGGGUUAUGGCGUUGGAGCCAUGGGAGGCCAAGGAUGAUCUUGUGAGCUGGUGCACUAGUAAUGAGGGGGAUGUUUUCCUGAUGAAUGGACUCCACGGUGAGUGGUGUGUGAUGAGAGCGGGUAUGAGGGGGAUGUUCAGAGAGGCGGCAAGGGUCUAGUCAAGUUUCCCAUGGCACCGGAAUCCACUGUCGCUGUAGAAACAGUACGUGAGGGACAGCCAGCUUGUGUGAGCGACACUGAAAAGGGUUUAGCAGAAACUGAUGAAGAUGGGAAACUCACACCUGCCCCAGGAUGUGGAAAAUCACGUGACCAUCCCCUCAUGGAUUCCGGGUUGGGAUGUACCAGGCACUGCUGAAGCUGGUGCCCCCCAUUGACCACAAUCGAGAUGGAGCCUCAGCUGUCUCUGCGUCACUCCGCUUGGAGGCGUGUGACCCCUACCUCCAAAGGUUCAGGCUCUGCUACAGAGUGUUCACUGAGGGAGAGAAGCGAUGUGGGUACCAACGCACCCGAAGUAGGUUAUCCAACCGGAUGGCCAUCGAUGAGCCAAGGAGAGGUUGUCGUCAGGACAUGCCAGUUCCGUUUGGACCUCCUCGCGCAGUCCUCUUAUGAAUGGCGUAUGGAGUGCUCCCUCAUUCCAUCGACUGGAUGCUGUGACAGUCCAGAAGGUGAGCGCAUACUCGGCAGCGGUCUGGUCAUUCUGCCCUAGUUGGAGUAGGCACUCACCCCUCUCUCUGUCCUCCAGUGGAUGAUAAAAAAACAGCUCUGAACAGAGCCAUGAACCCCUCUUACGAAGCCAGCACCUCCUCGCCCAGACGGCCGUAACCCACUCCAACGCCCGCCCAGUCAGCAGAGAAAUAACCGUGGCAACCUUUUGACUUCUCUGUGGUUGAGGCUCCCAUCUGAUCCGCAGAAUAGAGGGAGCACUGGAGAAGGAAGCCACGGCAUUUAAAUGGGGUUACAUCGUAUUUAUCCAGAAGGGACAAACGGGCAUCGCUGACCUGGGCAGACAGCUGAAUAGACUGAUGUGCUGGCUCGCUGGGUCGACUGGUGGCAGAGUAUCCUCCGCCAGUGGAAGGCAACACCUUGCAGGCAUGUUCAAGAUGUUGACGACUGCAAAGAACCUCAUCCAUAGCCAUCCCCAGUUGCGUCAGCUGGUCGUGGUGCUUACGAAGUAGGUUUCCCUGUUCGUCGACCGUCUGGGAGAGGUCCUCAUUUCCUGCUGCUUCCAUUUGAGGCUGUGUUCUGUAACAAUGACACUGGGAGACGGGAAGCAAGUGCAGGUAGUGAGUUUAAUAAUAACCGUAACAGAGCGCAUUACAGGACACAAGUGUAGCGUACGGACAUGGAACAACAUUAAUACCGCCUGGGGAAUAGACCUAAGACAGUGCCAGAUGUAUCGUACAAAUUCUAAUUCAUAACAUAUCAUAUGACAUUGUUGAUGGACAUCUACAAAUUAAUACAUAUGCUACGUUUCGUAGGGUAUCAUACUAAAUGGAGUGUCUCGGAUUUACAAAAAGAAUAAUACGAAAUGCUCUGAGACCAGGUUGUUGCUUUGUUCAGUGCUAGUUACCUGUGCAAAUUGUCGAUGCUCAACAGGGUAAGAAUGCUCCAAGUUUACUACAGGCUUUCAACAGGUAUGCAGCUAGUUGACCAGUCCAACAGAAAUACACAGGUAUGCGUCUCCCUGCCCAAAGAUGGCACCAAUUAAUAUUGACUUGAGCAAUGAGACCAGAGGGUAUGCCCAGGUUAGCCUCCUCAAGCCUGGGGUAGACAGAUCCUCUCCGAGGGGUUUAAUCAUAGGAUGAGUGACUCCAGUGGUUUCAAUUCAAGGGAAACUGCCACUAGACAUCUGGUUGCUAUGGAUUCACCCAGGAUGAAGGAACAUUUUGUAACUACAAGCCAAGCUUUCAGGCAGAGAAACACUAUCAUUUGGAAGUGGUGGUUCAGCCCUUAGAGCAGGGAUCAUCUACUAGAUUAAUCCGCGGGCUGUUUUUUCUUGAGCGGAUGGUCCGGCGGGCCAGAACAUAAUUAAGAAAUAAGGCCUUAGGGUGUGUGGUACAGUGCAUUGGGAAAGUAUUCAGACCCCUUCCCGUUUUCCCCAUUUAUUAAAAUAUCACAUUUCCGUAAGUAUUUAGACUCAGUACUUUGUUGAAGCACCUUUGGCAGCGAUUACAGCCUCGAGUUUUCUUGGGUAUGACGCUACAAGUGUGGCACACCUGUAUUUGGGGACUUUCUGACAUUCUUCUCUGCAGAUCUUCUCAAGCUCUGUCAGGUUGUAUGGGGAGUGUUUCUGCACAGCUUUUUUCAGGUCUCUCCAGAGAUGUUAGAUCGGGUUCAAGUCCGGGGUCUGGCUGGGCCACUCAAGGACAUUCCGAGACUUAUCCCGAAGCCACUCCUGUAUUGUCUUGGCUGUGUGCUUAGGGUCGUUGUCCUGUUGGAAGGUGACGCUUGGCAUUCAGCCCAAAGAGUUUAAUAAUGGUUUCAUCAGACCAAAGAAUCUUGUUUCUCAUGGUCUGAGAGUCUUUUAGGUGCCUUUUGGCAAACUCCAAGGGGGCUGUCAUGUGCUUCUUACUGAGGAGUGGCUUCCGUCUGGCCACUCUACCAUAAAGGCCUGAUUGGUGCAAUUUCUGGAAGGUUUUCCAAUCCCCACAGAGGAACUCUGGAUCUCUGUCAGAGUGACCAUCAGGUUCUUGGUCACCUCCCUGACUAGGACCUUGUCCCCGGAUUGCUCAGUUUGGCCGGUCGGCCAGCUCUAGGAAGAGUCUUGGGGGUUUAAAAUUUCUUCCAUUUAAGAAUGAUGGAGGCCACUAUGUUCUUUUGGACCUUUAAUGCUACAGAAAGGUUUUGGUACCCGUCCCCAAAUUUGUGCCUUGACACAAUCCUGUCUCGGAGCUCUACAGACAAUUCUUUCGACUUCAUGGCUUGGUUUUUGCUCUGACAUGCACUGUCAACUGUGGGACCUUAUAUAGACCGGUGUGUGCCUUUCCAAGUCAUGUCCAAUCAAUUAAAUUGACCACAGGUGGUCAAUGGAAACAUGAUGCACCUGAGCUCAAUUUUGAGUCUCAUAGCAAAGGGUCUGAAUACUUAUGUAAAUAAGGUAUUUAUGAUUUUAUUUGAAUGAAUUUGCAAAAAUUUCAAAACUGUUUUUCGGUUUGUCAUUAUGGGGUAUUGUGUGUAGAGGACAAACAUGUAUUUAAUCAAUUUUAGAUUAAGCCUGUAAUGUUACAAAAUGUUUAAAAAGUGAAGAGGUCUGAAUACUUUCCAAAUGCACUGUAAAUGGCCAAGAUACAAUGGCUAAGGGCUGUUCUUAUGCACGAUGCAACGGUGGAGUGCCUGGAUACAGCCCUUAGACAGGGUAUAUUGGCCAUAUACCACAACCCCAGAGGUGCUUUAUUGCUAUUAUAAACUGGUUAUCAAUGUAAUUAGAGCAGUAAAAAUACAUGUUUUGUCAUACCUGUGGUAUACCACGGCUGUCAGCCAAUCAGCAUUCAGGGCUCGAACCACCCAGUUUAUAAUUCCAAAUAAUUUGUAGACUGCAAAUUGACUGCAAAUAAGCCCAAACAGAUAUGUUUGACAAACAGAAUAAUUUCAAACCUUGCUUAUAUUUUAUAUUAUCACGUGUCUAUCUAUUAGGCUUAGGAAUACUUAGGAACAGAUUUCUUAAAUUAAAAUCACUUGGAGCUCAUUUCCCGGUGUUUUUACACUUUUAUGUCCAACAAUAAAAAAACGUUUCAACCAA
Molecule: long non-coding RNA, 5158 nt
Organism: Oncorhynchus tshawytscha (Chinook salmon)
Lineage: Eukaryota; Metazoa; Chordata; Actinopteri; Salmoniformes; Salmonidae
Source: Ensembl